RNAcentral lists this long non-coding RNA (5666 nucleotides) under Sus scrofa (pig). Its description in RNAcentral is "lncRNA (ENSSSCG00000059056.1)". Lineage: Eukaryota; Metazoa; Chordata; Mammalia; Artiodactyla; Suidae. The record is from RNAcentral.
CAUGGCAUAUGGAAGUUUCCAGGCUAGGGGUCAAAUCAGAGCUACAGCUGCCAGCCUAAACCACAGCCACAGCAAAGGAGGAUCUGAGCCAUGUCUGCAACCUACACCACAGCUCACAGCAAGGCUGAUCCUUAACCCACUGAGCAAGGCCAGGGAUGGAACCCACAUCCUCAUGGAUACUAGUCAAAUUCGUUUUUGCUGCACCACAAAGGGAACUCCACCCCAGUUCCAGAAUUUAUAUGUUAAAACCUAAUCUCAAAUAUGACAGUAGUUGGAGGUGGGGUUUCUGGGAGGUGAUUAGGUUAUGAGGGUGGAGCCCCUCUGAGUGGAAUUAGUGACUUAUAAAGGAGAGCUCAGAGCACUUCCUCACCCCUUCUGCCAUGUGAGGGCACAUCAAGAAGAUAGCUGUCUAUCAUCAAGGAACAGGCUCUCAUUUGCUUGUGCCCUGAUCUGUGACUUCACAGCUUCCAAAACUGUGAGAAAUAAGUGUUUGUUGUUUAAGCCACCCAGUCUAUGACAUUUUUGUCAUACCAGCCCAAAUGGACAUUACUAAACAGUUAUUCAUCUAAUAUUAUGCUUCCUGCAGAAAAACACUUGGGUUUUUCUCCACAUUAAAACUAACACACAAAAAACAGUGACAACAAAAAACACCACUUGUCUAGAGAUUCAUGAUUUGUGGCAACUUGGUCAACCAUCUUGGACAAGGGAACAGUAACAGGAGUUUUUGAUUCAUACACAGUCAUGUGCAGAAAAGACAGUCCUUGAGGUCCCCUGAGUCUUGUCUUAGCUUUCUGGAUGGAUGUCCCUUUGUGCUUUUUUUUUUUUUCUUUUGCGUAGACAUGCUUCUUUCAUAUAGCUUGACCACCAGCAGCUCCCUUUCAAGUGGCCAAAGAAUAUUGUAAGACAAUAUUCCACCAACCCCCUCUGAGCAUCCCAGUACAUGUGAAAAACCAGAGCUGCCUCUUUCAAACAGCAAAUGGAGCCCAGGACAAUAAGGUUUUAAUCAUUCAUUCCAGAACACUUUGAAGCUAUAAAAGUUACUAUUAUUCUUAUAAUAGUAAAGAUUACUAAUUAACUUUUAGGUCUUUUAUAGGGGCUAUAUAUUUUUUCUAAACUUUCAACAAAAUUGAACCAAGCAAAAGUUGUAGGGUUUUUUUUUUUUUCCCUUUUCUUUUUAAACAGUUAUGCAGUAAUUUUCUCAUGUUUUCAAGUGUUACUGCCUCUGGUAACUAAUUCUGGUAUUUAAUACCUCUCAAUUCAGUUUUUUCUCUUCAGCAUCAAGGACAGUGUGGGCCAGUAUUUAACUUUUUAAACUACAAAAAUCCCCAAGCCCCACUGAGUGAGAAGUGAGGAAUCAUGCCAACCUACUUCUUCCCUGAUAGGCAGAAUGCCAUCCCUCUUCUUUUUUUUAAUUUUAUUAGGGUAUAGUUGAUUUAUGUUGUUGUGUCAACUUCUGCUAUACAGCAUAGUGACCUAGUCAUGUAUACAUUACAUUCUUUUUCUUAUACUAUCCUCCAUCAUGUUCUAUCCCAAGAGAUUGGAUAUAGUUUCCUGUGCUAUACAGUAGGACCUCAUUGCUUAUCUAUUCUAAAUGUAAUAGUUUGCAUCUACUAACUCCAAACUCCCAGACGAUCCCACUUCUUCCCCUCUCCCCCUUGGCAACCACAAGUCUGUCCUCUAUGUCCGUUAGUCUGUUUCAUACAUAGAUUCAUUUGUUAAAAGCUUUUGCACGGCAUAGGAAACCAUUUAAAAAAAAAAAAAAAGACAACCCACAGACUGGGAGAAAAUCUUUGCAAAUGAUGCAACCAAUAAGGGCAUAAUCUCCAAAAUGCACAAACAACUCAUACAAUUCAACAACAACAAAAAACAAACAACCCAAUUGGAAAAGGGGCAGAAGACCUAAACAGACAUUUUUCCAAAGACAUACAGACGGCCAGUAGGCACUUGAAAAAAAAUUUCAACAUCACUAAUUAUUAGAGAAAUGCAAAUCAAAACUACACAAUCAAAUUCCAUAUUAAGCACCUCCUAUGCUUCUAACAGUACCUUAGUCACUCUGGUGAAUAUAAAAAUAGAAGGUAAUAUUUACUGGUAGAAAUUGCAGUGAUCCCAGAAACUUUUAAGGCAGAUAUUGGUUUUCCUACGAAGGCCACAUCUUAUCUUUCUUUGAGCUCAGAAUCUCCUUGGAUCUUGCAGACUACAUUGUCUUCCUAGGCUUUGUGAAAGAAACAAGACAUAAUAAUGGCAAAGGCAAAGUAAUGGUAAUAAUAAUAGUGAAUACGAGUCUUGGGAGAGAGGAACCACAAUGCAGAAGAUCGGACUUAAACACACUUGCUAUCCCAAGAGAUCAUAAACUAUAGUGACCCAAGUGUUUAUUGUGAGACUCACAUUCACCUAUGUGAUUUUCAUUUCAUCUCUCCCAACUGACAUCAGUUAUUACCUACCUUUUAGAUUCAGAAAACUCUGUAGAGUUUCUAAGUUGGGUAGAAGUCACAAAGAGAAAGGGGAGUCCACAGUCUUACUACCCAAAGUGUGGCCCAGGACCAGCAGCAGUAGCAUCACCUGAGACCUAUUAGAAAUGCAGACUGCUAGGCCCCACCCCAGACCUACUAAAUCAGAAUCUGCAUUCUGACAAGAUCCUCUGGGCGACUCUUCCACACACUAAAACUUGAAAAAUCUCUGGUCUGCAGCAUUUGAUAAUUUGAAAAAGCUUUCAAAACUACCUGGAGUUCCUGGUUGUAAUUUCUAGAAUGUGAAAGAGAAUUUAUAAUGCAUGUACACGUCUUCCCUGCAGUACAGCAUGAAGACUUUCUGAUUUGUGACUGAAAUAAGAAGACAUCUUAUAAGAUCUGUCUCUACUGAUAUGAAUUGUCCGACAGUGAAAUUUGUCAUGCCAUGUAUGCUUUCACUGAAAGGAUUUAUGGGCUUAUCAAAUUUAAAAUAGUUACAUUUAUUUUAAUAACACUUAACAUGAACAUGAAUUAUGCAACCACAUUAAGGAAAGAAUAAGGAAAAUAAAACCAGUUCCUAUAAAACAACUUUGUCACUCAAAUGUGCCCAAAACAAAAUCUUGGACAAACAUGGCUUUUCUUUUUCUCUUUUCCAAAAUAUUCCAUUAAAUAGAUUUAACUUUGUCUUUCAAACUGUCCUAACCACAGAAUGAUUUUGUAAUAUACUUAAAUCCAUAUGGCUCAUUCUAUUAUAAAAUGCCCACAAAAAGUGAAGGGAAAGAACACAGUUUUCUUCUGAAGAACUUAUUUGACGUGAUAAAAUAGACUAAAAUGAGGCUAUUGCAAGGGUUAAACUUACAUUCCAUGUCCUCCAAAAAAUCUAAUGAAAUCUGGGCCUUCUGGGAAGGGUGGAGAAAAUUUUAUAGAAAAUGAAGACUCUGAGGAAAACAAUCUCCAUGGGUAGUUCAAGAGGAAUGAGAACCUAUCUAUAGCAUUUAGGAUUUAGGUUAAAAAUGAGGAAAGUUUCCUGACAAUUAAGAUUAUUAAAUUCAUAAAUUAGCAUUAUAUGGAAAUUUAAGAGGACAUAAUGUUAAUAGCAUUUGCUUCUUUGGAGUCAUGAGGUUGAUUUAUUUUUAUUGGGGUUCUUGUUUUAAGAAUAAUAAUCAUUGAUAUUGUUGUUAUUAUAAUGGCAAUAAGUGAAUAUGAACAAUAUACCAGGCCCUGUGCUUUGUGCUUUACAUGCAUUGUAGGUUCUAUAACUAUACUCAUUUUAUAGAUGGAAAGAACUGGUUCUAGGAGAAGUUAAAUGACUUACCCAAGGUCAGAAAGGCAGUUAGGGGUGGGAUCAGGAUUUCUACAAGGCAGCUUCCCUUCUGCCAAUCAGCACACUAUACAUAACUGUACUGCCUCCUGAUACCCUUACAUGGUGACAAGCAAGAAUGGGAGACCAAAAUUGGCUUAACUUUGUGCUGCGUCAAAUAGCCUUCCAGGGAAACUAUAGUCAACAUUGGGAAAGACCUUAGGCGUAUAAAGAUAACAUCUAGUUAACCAGGUGGUUGAAACGUUGACUUUGCUCCUUGUCUGUUCAAUGUGUCACCAGUCACCAGGCGCAGCCCACCAGGCUGAGAGAUAAUUUAGGCUGCUUCAGAGUCUUCAUAUGCCAUCGACAUGGCCCUUACCUUAUCAAGACCCAGAAACAAAGCAGUUCUGGAGACACUGUGACGCUCACUCCCCAUUGCACUAACCAACCAUGAUCUGUCAGUGUGUAGCACGACUAGAACAACAAACACAUCCUCUCUCUCUCAACUACACACAAACCAAAUGACAAAAAUUUUCAUCAGAAGACCAUCAGGAGAGCCUAAAACUGAGCUGAUGCCAUCGUUACUAUAAAGUAAAUAGAGUGGACUUAAUGUUUCUAGAAUAUAUCUAGAUCAAGUACGAUAACAUAUGGAAGGCCCAGCCGGUGUGCAGAACAUCAGAGGUACUCAGCAAAUGUCAGUUCUUCCCUCUGUCCACUCUCCUUAAUUACAGGGCUCUCACAUAUUUUAUUUUACUUCUGAAUUGGAGAGUCGAGGGCAUGAUCCCUUUAGAAAAAGCCAGGAGAUAACCCAUUGUGAAGGAAACAGAUUGGAGUUAGAAGUGACAGAGCGGCAAUGGAGAUAUUUAUAAGGUGUCUCCACUUUAUAAAAGGCAGCUCAAUUCCAUGAGAGCAAAGGAAGGUGAGUAUACAUCAAGACUUAACACAAGAUAGCAGAAAAGAUCUGAGAGCUAAUGCAGAAAUUUGACACCUGACCACUAUAAACUGCCUUGUGCUGUAAGAAACCAUGAAUCAUUUGAUGACACUAAAUGCCUGGGGUUUACUGGACUGUUACCAGUAGCUUAUGAUAAAUGGACAAUACUGAACUGACCAAAAGCCAUGAAAAUGAUCCAAGUGUUCACAGGAAGGUCCAAAUAGAUUAACAAUUAAAGUGGGUUCAGAAAACAUUUUACCUUAGAAAACACCUUGCUUGUACUUAGAAGCUUCAAAAUGGAUUUCUUAGUUACAAGGGAAAUAACCAAGUUAUACAUUAACUUCUUAAAUUAUAUUUUAUAUUAUAAAAAUGUUAUUGUAAUCAUUAAGAUGCUUGUUUUUCUCAGUAACUCAUCCUAGAAGCAAGUCUAACAUAUAGGCCUCUGUGCUCUAGUCAGUCAGUAGAAGGCAAACAAUCUAAAAGGAGUAAGUUACUUUAGCAAAGUGUUUCUCAAAUUUUUGAAACUCAUAUCCUUCUUUAAAUAUUCUACAAAAAUCAAAGAAAAAUCAAUAUUAUUAUUUGCAUUGGAUCAAAACAAUGGAAAUAGCAACGCUUUGUUUUCCAACCACAUGGCCCCUCUCCACCACUAUGACAUCAGAGCCAGCAGUACAGGGACGUAGUACAUGGCUGCUCACUUGCGCUUGAAGAAUCUUUGCUCUCUUACUCAUCCCAAAAUACGGCUGACUGCUACCUACAGAAAAGAAAUAUUCCCAUUGACCAAAUUUCAGAGUUCUAAUCUGCUUCACUCUCACUAAAUACUUUAAAGAAUUACUUAAAAGAGUAAGUAAUUACUUAAAAGAAUAAGCAACCUCGCUGGUCUUAAAAGAAGCCUAAGUAAACUGCAAAAAGAAAUAUGUAAACUCUUCUAUUUUAAAAAUAAUUACAUCUUAGAAAUUGUAUAUGCAAAUUUGCAAAGUAUUUGUUGUCC